RNAcentral lists this transfer RNA (72 nucleotides) under Camelus bactrianus (Bactrian camel). It matches the Rfam family "tRNA". From Rfam's summary of the family: Transfer RNA (tRNA) molecules are approximately 80 nucleotides in length. Their secondary structure includes four short double-helical elements and three loops (D, anti-codon, and T loops). Further hydrogen bonds mediate the characteristic L-shaped molecular structure. tRNAs have two regions of fundamental functional importance: the anti-codon, which is responsible for specific mRNA codon recognition, and the 3' end, to which the tRNAs corresponding amino acid is attached (by aminoacyl-tRNA synthetases). tRNAs cope with the degeneracy of the genetic code in two manners: having more than one tRNA (with a specific anti-codon) for a particular amino acid; and 'wobble' base-pairing, i.e. permitting non-standard base-pairing at the 3rd anti-codon position. The record is from Rfam by way of RNAcentral. Lineage: Eukaryota; Metazoa; Chordata; Mammalia; Artiodactyla; Camelidae. RNAcentral also lists the same sequence under 2 other names.
GGGGGUGUAGCUCAGUGAUAGAGUGCAUGCUUGAUGUGCACAAGGUCUUGAGUUUGAUCCCCAGUGCCUCCU